RNAcentral lists this ribosomal RNA (97 nucleotides) under Streptomyces iakyrus. Its description in RNAcentral is "partial 23S ribosomal RNA". It matches the Rfam family "Bacterial large subunit ribosomal RNA", at positions 2828 to 2925 of the family's 2925-position model. RNAcentral also lists the same sequence under 1 other name. Lineage: Bacteria; Bacillati; Actinomycetota; Actinomycetes; Kitasatosporales; Streptomycetaceae. The record is from RNAcentral.
GUAAGGCUCCCAGUAGACGACUGGGUUGAUAGGCCGGAUAUGGAAGCACGGUAACGUGUGGAGUUGACCGGUACUAAUAGGCCGAGGGCUUGUCCUC